Molecule: long non-coding RNA, 78 nt
Organism: Myripristis murdjan (pinecone soldierfish)
Lineage: Eukaryota; Metazoa; Chordata; Actinopteri; Holocentriformes; Holocentridae
Exons: 3
Source: RefSeq, a predicted model, not a curated record
GUGGAUCAGUGUGUAAGAGACUCUGUAGAAGGACAGAGUCCCAGCAGAGCAGUCCAGAUCCACUGCUACUCUGUGAGA